RNAcentral lists this ribosomal RNA (2789 nucleotides) under Escherichia coli. RNAcentral's name for it is "bacterial LSU rRNA". It matches the Rfam family "Bacterial large subunit ribosomal RNA". The record is from RNAcentral. Lineage: Bacteria; Pseudomonadati; Pseudomonadota; Gammaproteobacteria; Enterobacterales; Enterobacteriaceae.
AGCGUACACGGUGGAUGCCCUGGCAGUCAGAGGCGAUGAAGGACGUGCUAAUCUGCGAUAAGCGUCGGUAAGGUGAUAUGAACCGUUAUAACCGGCGAUUUCCGAAUGGGGAAACCCAGUGUGAUUCGUCACACUAUCAUUAACUGAAUCCAUAGGUUAAUGAGGCGAACCGGGGGAACUGAAACAUCUAAGUACCCCGAGGAAAAGAAAUCAACCGAGAUUCCCCCAGUAGCGGCGAGCGAACGGGGAGGAGCCCAGAGCCUGAAUCAGUGUGUGUGUUAGUGGAAGCGUCUGGAAAGGCGCGCGAUACAGGGUGACAGCCCCGUACACAAAAAUGCACAUGCUGUGAGCUCGAUGAGUAGGGCGGGACACGUGGUAUCCUGUCUGAAUAUGGGGGGACCAUCCUCCAAGGCUAAAUACUCCUGACUGACCGAUAGUGAACCAGUACCGUGAGGGAAAGGCGAAAAGAACCCCGGCGAGGGGAGUGAAAAAGAACCUGAAACCGUGUACGUACAAGCAGUGGGAGCACAGAGCAAUCUGUGUGACUGCGUACCUUUUGUAUAAUGGGUCAGCGACUUAUAUUCUGUAGCAAGGUUAACCGAAUAGGGGAGCCGAAGGGAAACCGAGUCUUAACUGGGCGUUAAGUUGCAGGGUAUAGACCCGAAACCCGGUGAUCUAGCCAUGGGCAGGUUGAAGGUUGGGUAACACUAACUGGAGGACCGAACCGACUAAUGUUGAAAAAUUAGCGGAUGACUUGUGGCUGGGGGUGAAAGGCCAAUCAAACCGGGAGAUAGCUGGUUCUCCCCGAAAGCUAUUUAGGUAGCGCCUCGUGAAUUCAUCUCCGGGGGUAGAGCACUGUUUCGGCAAGGGGGUCAUCCCGACUUACCAACCCGAUGCAAACUGCGAAUACCGGAGAAUGUUAUCACGGGAGACACACGGCGGGUGCUAACGUCCGUCGUGAAGAGGGAAACAACCCAGACCGCCAGCUAAGGUCCCAAAGUCAUGGUUAAGUGGGAAACGAUGUGGGAAGGCCCAGACAGCCAGGAUGUUGGCUUAGAAGCAGCCAUCAUUUAAAGAAAGCGUAAUAGCUCACUGGUCGAGUCGGCCUGCGCGGAAGAUGUAACGGGGCUAAACCAUGCACCGAAGCUGCGGCAGCGACGCUUAUGCGUUGUUGGGUAGGGGAGCGUUCUGUAAGCCUGCGAAGGUGUGCUGUGAGGCAUGCUGGAGGUAUCAGAAGUGCGAAUGCUGACAUAAGUAACGAUAAAGCGGGUGAAAAGCCCGCUCGCCGGAAGACCAAGGGUUCCUGUCCAACGUUAAUCGGGGCAGGGUGAGUCGACCCCUAAGGCGAGGCCGAAAGGCGUAGUCGAUGGGAAACAGGUUAAUAUUCCUGUACUUGGUGUUACUGCGAAGGGGGGACGGAGAAGGCUAUGUUGGCCGGGCGACGGUUGUCCCGGUUUAAGCGUGUAGGCUGGUUUUCCAGGCAAAUCCGGAAAAUCAAGGCUGAGGCGUGAUGACGAGGCACUACGGUGCUGAAGCAACAAAUGCCCUGCUUCCAGGAAAAGCCUCUAAGCAUCAGGUAACAUCAAAUCGUACCCCAAACCGACACAGGUGGUCAGGUAGAGAAUACCAAGGCGCUUGAGAGAACUCGGGUGAAGGAACUAGGCAAAAUGGUGCCGUAACUUCGGGAGAAGGCACGCUGAUAUGUAGGUGAAGCGACUUGCUCGUGGAGCUGAAAUCAGUCGAAGAUACCAGCUGGCUGCAACUGUUUAUUAAAAACACAGCACUGUGCAAACACGAAAGUGGACGUAUACGGUGUGACGCCUGCCCGGUGCCGGAAGGUUAAUUGAUGGGGUCAGCGCAAGCGAAGCUCUUGAUCGAAGCCCCGGUAAACGGCGGCCGUAACUAUAACGGUCCUAAGGUAGCGAAAUUCCUUGUCGGGUAAGUUCCGACCUGCACGAAUGGCGUAAUGAUGGCCAGGCUGUCUCCACCCGAGACUCAGUGAAAUUGAACUCGCUGUGAAGAUGCAGUGUACCCGCGGCAAGACGGAAAGACCCCGUGAACCUUUACUAUAGCUUGACACUGAACAUUGAGCCUUGAUGUGUAGGAUAGGUGGGAGGCUUUGAAGUGUGGACGCCAGUCUGCAUGGAGCCGACCUUGAAAUACCACCCUUUAAUGUUUGAUGUUCUAACGUGGACCCGUAAUCCGGGUUGCGGACAGUGUCUGGUGGGUAGUUUGACUGGGGCGGUCUCCUCCUAAAGAGUAACGGAGGAGCACGAAGGUUGGCUAAUCCUGGUCGGACAUCAGGAGGUUAGUGCAAUGGCAUAAGCCAGCUUGACUGCGAGCGUGACGGCGCGAGCAGGUGCGAAAGCAGGUCAUAGUGAUCCGGUGGUUCUGAAUGGAAGGGCCAUCGCUCAACGGAUAAAAGGUACUCCGGGGAUAACAGGCUGAUACCGCCCAAGAGUUCAUAUCGACGGCGGUGUUUGGCACCUCGAUGUCGGCUCAUCACAUCCUGGGGCUGAAGUAGGUCCCAAGGGUAUGGCUGUUCGCCAUUUAAAGUGGUACGCGAGCUGGGUUUAGAACGUCGUGAGACAGUUCGGUCCCUAUCUGCCGUGGGCGCUGGAGAACUGAGGGGGGCUGCUCCUAGUACGAGAGGACCGGAGUGGACGCAUCACUGGUGUUCGGGUUGUCAUGCCAAUGGCACUGCCCGGUAGCUAAAUGCGGAAGAGAUAAGUGCUGAAAGCAUCUAAGCACGAAACUUGCCCCGAGAUGAGUUCUCCCUGACUCCUUGA